AAUACCCCAUAAUAUGGUACCAUCGCAUGAUGGAACUAUAAAAGCUUAGGCGGUAAGGAUGGGCAUGCGUGACAUUAGCUAGUUGGUAGGGUAACGGCCUACCAGGCUACGAUGUCUAGGGGUUCUGAGAGGAAGGUCCCCCACACUGGUACUAGACACGGACCAGACUCCUACGGGAGGCAGCAGUGAGGAAUAUUGGUCAUGGGCGCGAGCCUGAACCAGCCAUCCCGCGUGCAGGAAGACGCCCUAUGGGUUGUAAACUGCUUUUGUGCAGGAAGAAUGUGCCCAUCGUGUGGGUAGUGACGGUACUGCAUGAAUAAGCACCGGCUAACUCCGUGCCACAGCCGCGGUAAUACGGAGGGUGCAAGCGUUAUCCGGAUUUAUUGGGUUAAAGGGUGCGUAGGCGGUAAAAUAAGUCAGUGGUGAAAAGCUGCAGCUCAGUAGUCCUGCCAUUGAAACUGGUUUACUUGAGUAACCAUGAGGUA
This 485-nucleotide ribosomal RNA is filed under the name uncultured bacterium. RNAcentral describes it as "bacterial SSU rRNA". It matches the Rfam family "Bacterial small subunit ribosomal RNA", at positions 165 to 659 of the family's 1533-position model. The record is from RNAcentral.